RNAcentral lists this long non-coding RNA (558 nucleotides) under Mustela putorius furo (domestic ferret). RNAcentral describes it as "lncRNA (ENSMPUG00000031390.1)". The record is from RNAcentral. Lineage: Eukaryota; Metazoa; Chordata; Mammalia; Carnivora; Mustelidae.
AACUGGGUCCCAUUUCCUGCCCCCACCGUGUCAGCUCCCUGCAAGCAAAGGGUAGAAGCAGAGACCCCACAUGUUGGCGUCAGCCUCCAGGACCCCCUUGGGGCAACAGGGCCAACGUAUCUGGCUCGGACAACGCAGCGAUCAGACGAUGAUGGUCUAGAAACGUCCGUGGACUGCUCUGCAGAGCCCACCUCUGGGCGUGCCCUCUUCCGGAGAUACACCUGCUGGAGGGGUCCUGGCUCAAGACACAUGCACGCAGCCCCCAAGGGGAAAGGCGCUCACAAAAGACUCACAGAAGCAACAACACACAGCGCAUCUCCCUUCAUCUUGGAACCUGUACUGCGAGGAAAAUACAAAGGCUUUCCAUGGGGCGGAGGAAGAAACUGAAACCUACUGUGCCCGAAGUUCCCUUUGGUCUCCGAUGGGUAAACACAAAAUCUGAGAACCGAUCUAAAAGCUCCUUUCUGUGGUUGCUUCCUUCAAGUUGGAUUAAAAAGAAAAGCCUCUUGGAAAGAUCCCAGGGUAUAAAAUAGUGGGGAGGNNNNNNNNNNNNNNNNN